This is a long non-coding RNA of Thunnus maccoyii (southern bluefin tuna), 1509 nucleotides long. RefSeq lists it as uncharacterized. Lineage: Eukaryota; Metazoa; Chordata; Actinopteri; Scombriformes; Scombridae. The transcript is spliced from 3 exons. The record is from RefSeq and is a predicted model, not a curated record.
AGCCUCUGAAAGGGCUGAGAGAUACUUGUCUCUCUUUGAGAGGCUUGUAAAUAAAUUAUAACAUAUAUAUAAUUUAGAUUUAAUGUUUCAACUCCUGAUUAUUGUUUGUUUGUUGUACUUUUCUUACAUGAAUAUAAUAAUAAUUUUAGAAGUUGAGUUUCAGUCUGUAUGGAAGAUAAAUAAACAGUUAUACAUAAAGUGGUAACAUGCAGGUUAUUGAGACUUAAGGUGAGACACCAAAGCUUAUAAUGGUGAUCAGAACAAUGUCACCUUCUCAAAAUGACAUCUGUUACAUAGUUAGAAUACUUGUACUACUUGUAGACAGCCAUCAAAUUUUUCAUGCUUCUUUCUAACUAUGAUUAACAGAGGCGGUUUUUUUCCGUUGUCAUUGCCAUUCUAUGAGGUGCGUAUUUAAAAAACAAAAUAGUUAAUAACCAUAUGCACAAUCACUUUUAAUUAUUCACCAAUAAAACAAUAACAAUAACAAUUUAACUAAUCUAAUGAUGAUUAUAAUAACAAUUGUAACAAUAACAUUUUCAUGUCACAGUGUUCACCGGACAUGUAACCUCGGGGUUUACCCCCUUAGUUAUUAUCAUGCUCCCUCAGACAUGCAGACAGCUCUCCAGGGGCAGACACAUGUGCAGCAAGUCUGGCAUGGAGAUUAUUUCCUGAGAGCUCCUGAUCAUCAUCAGGAAUGUUCUCCCAAUCUUCUUCAUCCUCCUCGUGAUGUUCCUCCUCCUCCUCCGGGAUGUUGACAGACAGAGGUUGUGGAGGAUGCAGCAUGCUGAUAUUACUGGGGGGGCAAAUAGAGGCCAAAUCUCCAAAGCCCUCAAGAAGAUGGCUCAAUGACGUUCCUGUCCUUGGCAUGGUGCUUUUUAAAGUGUGCUUCAACUUGGCCUGAUGAUUAAAAUAUAGGCUGGCAGUAUGGUAUCACAAGGGAGGCAGGAUGCUGCAGGCAUGGGUACCCCUCUCUCCAAGUAGAAAGAAGCCAGCUGGUGGAUAGAGGGACUCCUUGUACAUCAGAGAUCUCUGGAGGAGAAGGGCAUCAUGGACUGACCCUGGUUGCCAAUCAGGUGGGAGUAUUCUGAUGUGGCACCCAUCUAUGGCACCAGCCGCACAGCGGAAAGCCUCAUGGCCAGCCAGGCGAGUAAAGCUGCCCCCACCUCCUCCGGAAAUGAAUAAUUUUGUGCCUCUCAGUAUGGCGAAGAUGUCUGCUGUCACUCUGUAUGAGGUGCCACAUGCAAUCCAGUAGAGGCAGACAGACAGACCUUCUUUGAAUUGCCCUUCUGAGAUUUCUUCCUUUUUUUUCUCCUACCAAUGUUUUUCCUUAUCUCCAUGAAGUUUAAGAUCAUGGGGUGUUUGAGACAUGUAAUGGGCUAAACAAAUGAACUUUACUUGAUUCAUUGUACAAGGCUUAUCAGACUUGUUUUAUCUAUAAAUGUGAGUGUGAACCUCUUUUGAUGUAAAGUAAGUGUGUGGUACAGUAAUUUCAUUUACUCAAAUAAAUCA